This 341-nucleotide long non-coding RNA is filed under the name Homo sapiens (human). Its description in RNAcentral is "LHRI_LNC1985.2". Lineage: Eukaryota; Metazoa; Chordata; Mammalia; Primates; Hominidae. The record is from RNAcentral.
CGAGAGUACAAGGUAGUGGGUCGCUGCCUGCCCACCCCCAAAUGCCACACGCCGCCCCUCUACCGCAUGCGCUGUCACCCAGUGCUACCGAGACAUGGGUGCCCGGCACCGCGCCCGAGCCCACUCCAUUCAGAUCAUGAAGGUGGAGGAGAUCGCGGCCAGCAAGUGCCGCCGGCCGGCUGUCAAGCAGUUCCACGACUCCAAGAUCAAGUUCCCGCUGCCCCACCGGGUCCUGCGCCGUCAGCACAAGCCACGCUUCACCACCAAGAGGCCCAACACCUUCUUCUAGGUGCAGGGCCCUCGUCCGGGUGUGCCCCAAAUAAACUCAGGAACGCCCCGGU